Molecule: transfer RNA, 69 nt
Filed under: Sphaerodactylus townsendi
Lineage: Eukaryota; Metazoa; Chordata; Lepidosauria; Squamata; Sphaerodactylidae
Description: tRNA-Ala
Source: RNAcentral
GUCGUAGCUCAAAGGCAGAACAUCUGCUUGGCAUGCAGAAGGUCACAGGUUCAAUCUCUGGCAUCUCCA